AACGUAGGAGGCGAGCGUUAUCCGGAUUUACUGGGCGUAAAGCGCGUGCAGGCGGUCAUGCAAGUUGGGCGUGAAAUCUCCUGGCUUAACUGGGAGGGGUCGUUCAAGACUGUGUGACUUGAGUGCAGGAGAGGGAAGCGGAAUUCCUGGUGUAGCGGUAAUAUGCGCAGAUAUCAGGAGGAACAUCCGUGGCGAAGGCGGCUUCCUGGCCUGUAACUGACGCUCAGACGCGAAAGCUAGGGUAGCGAACGGGAUUAGAUACC
This 263-nucleotide ribosomal RNA is filed under the name uncultured bacterium. RNAcentral describes it as "partial 16S ribosomal RNA". It matches the Rfam family "Bacterial small subunit ribosomal RNA", at positions 524 to 786 of the family's 1533-position model. The record is from RNAcentral.